This 257-nucleotide unclassified non-coding RNA is filed under the name Hevea brasiliensis (rubber tree). Lineage: Eukaryota; Viridiplantae; Streptophyta; Magnoliopsida; Malpighiales; Euphorbiaceae. The record is from RNAcentral.
CCGACAUUAUCCAUGAUCCGGGUCGUGGCGCGCCGCUCGCUAGAGUCACCUUUCGCCACCCAUUUCGCUACAAGCACCAGAAGGAGCUAUUCGUUGCUGCUGAGGGGAUGUAUACUGGUCAGUUUGUUUACUGUGGAAAGAAGGCGAAUUUGAUGGUUGGAAAUGUGUUACCUCUGAGAUCGAUUCCUGAGGGAGCUGUUGUGUGUAAUGUGGAACAUCAUGUGGGUGACAGAGGAGUCUUCGCUAGAUGUUCUGGG